Molecule: non-coding RNA, 29 nt
Filed under: Homo sapiens (human)
Lineage: Eukaryota; Metazoa; Chordata; Mammalia; Primates; Hominidae
Source: RNAcentral
UGAUAGGCAAAUCAAAUGCAAAAUAUGGU